Molecule: long non-coding RNA, 345 nt
Filed under: Anas platyrhynchos platyrhynchos (common mallard)
Lineage: Eukaryota; Metazoa; Chordata; Aves; Anseriformes; Anatidae
Description: lncRNA (ENSAPLG00000027205.1)
Source: RNAcentral
AUGGAUGCAUCAGCCAGUGACCUUGUAAUGAACAGCAAGAGACUUCAGGAGCUGGGGGAGCAGUGCUGUGGGGCACUCGGGGCAGGAGCACCCACAGCAGCACAGUCAGGACCAGUGCCCACCAGCAGCCCGGCACUGGGAGCUCACUGCUCCAGGGACACGGCACAGGCACCUCCGGGCACAGAGCAUGCCGGGUUUCCAUCUCCCUCCACGCUGCCUGCAGGGACGGGAGCACGGGGAGGCUUCGCCCGGCUCCUGGGUGCCACUCGCUGCUGCAGGCAGCCACACUGCUCGGCCCAGGAGCAUCUGUGUGACCAAACAUUCAUCUGCUUGCCCUGCUCUUAA